GUGUGUGUGUGUGUGUGUGAAGCUUUGUGAGUUUGAUAUCAGAAUCACUUGUUUGCCAUUCCAUAAGAAGAAGUGGUGUGUUUGGGCUCGGUUGACGACUAAGGUGUGAAUUAAGCUUCAAUUCAGAUUAGGAUUAGGGAAAAUGUCUGGGUUAGGCAUAAAUUCAGCUCCUAAAAUAAAAAGGAAGUCAAUACAAAGUCCUUUUCCGGGUAGAAAUACAAACGUGUGUGUGUAACUUUAGGAACUUUUUAGUUAAAAUUGCUCAGUCAAAAUUUUUCCCUUCACCUGCUGGUAAGAUUCUCUCAACUCAUGAGAAUCUGACUUUGUGAAAGAAUAUGGAAACGUCUCUCAGAGCUGUUUUCCUUCGCCGUCUGCAUGUAGCAAACAAAUCACCUUCAUCAAGGUCUGCUGGGCGCGCUCCAUCCCCCACCACAUCUGCUCCUCCCUGGGAUUACAGUGCAAAUGUUUGUCUGAAACACCCAGUGCUGAGAGGGGAGAUUAUGGCUGAACUGGCCUCACCGAGAGGAGGGGGGGGGGGGG
Long non-coding RNA from Poecilia latipinna (sailfin molly), 540 nucleotides. RefSeq lists it as uncharacterized. The transcript is spliced from 3 exons. NCBI's taxonomy places the organism in Eukaryota, Metazoa, Chordata, Actinopteri, Cyprinodontiformes, Poeciliidae. The record is from RefSeq and is a predicted model, not a curated record.